UACGUAGGGCGCAAGCGUUAUCCGGAAUUAUUGGGCGUAAAGAGCUCGUAGGCGGUUUGUCGCGUCUGCCGUGAAAGUCCGGGGCUCAACUCCGGAUCUGCGGUGGGUACGGGCAGACUAGAGUGAUGUAGGGGAGACUGGAAUUCCUGGUGUAGCGGUGGAAUGCGCAGAUAUCAGGAGGAACACCGGUGGCGAAGGCGGGAUCCUGGGCCAGUACUGACGCUGAGGAGCGAAAACGUGGGGAGCAAACAGG
RNAcentral lists this ribosomal RNA (253 nucleotides) under uncultured bacterium. RNAcentral describes it as "partial 16S ribosomal RNA". It matches the Rfam family "Bacterial small subunit ribosomal RNA", at positions 524 to 776 of the family's 1533-position model. The record is from RNAcentral.